UACGUAGGGUGCGAGCGUUUAAUCGGAAUUACUGGGCGUAAAGCGUGCGCAGGCGGUUUUGUAAGCCGGAUGUGAAAUCCCCGGGCUUAACCUGGGAAUGGCAUUCGGGACUGCAAGGCUGGAGUGCGGCAGAGGAGACUGGAAUUCCUGGUGUAGCAGUGAAAUGCGUAGAUAUCAGGAGGAACACCGAUGGCGAAGGCAGGUCUCUGGGCUGACACUGACGCUCAUGCACGAAAGCGUGGGGAGCAAACAGG
RNAcentral lists this ribosomal RNA (254 nucleotides) under uncultured bacterium. RNAcentral describes it as "partial 16S ribosomal RNA". It matches the Rfam family "Bacterial small subunit ribosomal RNA", at positions 524 to 776 of the family's 1533-position model. The record is from RNAcentral.